GUAGGUGGCAAGCGUUGUCCGGAAUUAUUGGGCGUAAAGCGCGCGCAGGCGGUUCUUUAAGUCUGAUGUGAAAGCCCACGGCUCAACCGUGGAGGGUCAUUGGAAACUGGAGAACUUGAGUACAGAAGAGGAAAGCGGAAUUCCACGUGUAGCGGUGAAAUGCGUAGAGAUGUGGAGGAACACCAGUGGCGAAGGCGGCUUUCUGGUCUGUAACUGACGCUGAGGUGCGAAAGCGUGGGGAGCAAACAGGGAUUAGAUACCCUGGUAGUCCACGCCGUAAACGAUGAGUGCUAAGUGUUAGGGGGGUUUCCGCCCCCUUAGUGCUGCAGCUAACGCAUUAAGCACUCCGCCUGGGGAGUACGGCCGCAAGGCUG
RNAcentral lists this ribosomal RNA (374 nucleotides) under uncultured organism. RNAcentral's name for it is "partial 16S ribosomal RNA". It matches the Rfam family "Bacterial small subunit ribosomal RNA", at positions 527 to 896 of the family's 1533-position model. The record is from RNAcentral.